Molecule: ribosomal RNA, 253 nt
Filed under: uncultured bacterium
Lineage: Bacteria
Description: partial 16S ribosomal RNA
Rfam family: Bacterial small subunit ribosomal RNA
Source: RNAcentral
UACGUAGGGGGCAAGCGUUGUCCGGAUUUAUUGGGCGUAAAGAGCGUGUAGGCGGUUUGGUAGGUCCGCUGUGAAAACUCGAGGCUCAACCUCGAGACGCCGGUGGAAACCAUCAGGCUAGAGUCCGGAAGAGGAGAGUGGAAUUCCUGGUGUAGCGGUGAAAUGCGCAGAUAUCAGGAAGAACACCCGUGGCUAAGGCGGCUCUCUAGUACGGUACUGACGCUGAGGCGCGAAAGCUAGGGGAGCAAACAGG